GUGACGCUGCAGGACCAGUGACAAUGGCACCACGGUGACACCACGGUGACGGUGAUGCUGUGGUUAUGGUGACGCUGCAGGACUGGUGACGGUGACACCACGGCGACGGUGACACCAUGGUCACGGUGACACUUUUUAGUACUGAUGACAACGAUACCACGGUGACGGUGACACCACGGCCAUGGUGACGCUGUGGCUACGGUGAUAAUGGCACCACGGUGACGGUGACACCACAGUGACGGUGACGCUGUGGUGACGGAGACGCCACGGCCAUGGUCACACUUUAGUACCGGUGACAAUGACACCACGGUGACAGUGACACCACGGUCAUGGUGACACGGUGGUGACGGUGACACGGUGGUGACGGUGACAGCGGUGACGGUGACAUUGCCAUGGGCACGACAAUGAUGCGGCGCUGCCGGUGCCACGGUGACGCUGAUCUUGACGUGGCUGUGCCGGUGCCAUGGUGGUGAUGGUGACGGUGACGCGGCGCUCGUGUUCACGCAGUGAUGGUGACGCGGUGGUGCUGGUGCCGUGGUGGUGACGGUGACACAGCGGUGAUGCCGGUUCUGGUGUCAGUGUCACGGUGGUGCCAGUGGUGCCGGUUCCGGUUCUGGUUCCGGUUCCAGUUCCAGCUCUGGUUCCAGUUCCAGUUCCAGCUCUGGUUCCGGUUCCAGCUCUGGUUCCGGUUCCAGUUCCGGUUCCAGUUCCAGCUCUGGUUCCGGUUCCGGUUCCGGUUGCGGUUGUGCUCAGGCGUGCAGGCAGCGGUUGAAGGCGUUGUAGGCCGACUCGAGGUCGAAGAGCAGCUGCCGCACCUGGGCAUCGUCCAGCUCGUCCGACGCCGACAUGGCGCUCAGCGUCUGCAGCCUCCGCCCCGCAAACAACGCCGCCGCUCAGCACCGCGACCCACGGCCGCGACCCACGGCGACCCACAGCCGCGACCCACAACCGGGACCCGCAACCGGGACCCGCAACCGGGACCCGCAACCGGGACCCGCAACCGGGACCCGCAACCGGGACCCGCAACCGGGACCCGCAGCUCGUCCGACGCCGACACGGCGCUCAGCGUCUGCAGCUUCCAGCCCCGCAAACCCCACAAAGGCGCCCCUGACCCCAUAGGGACCCCGUAAAGACUCCCCUCGACUCCAUAAAGACCCCAUAAAGAGCCCCCUGACCCCCUAGGGAACCCCCGACCCCAUAAGGACCUCAUAAAGAAUCCCACAACCCCAUAAACACCCCCCCGACCACAGAAGGACCCCAUAAAGACCGCCCUGACCCCAUAGGGACCUCACAAAGACACCCUUGACCCCAUAAGGACCCCAUACAGAUCCCAUAAAGACCCCCCGACCCCAUAAGAACCCCAUAGGAACCCCCCACAACCCCAUAAACCUCAUAAAGACCCCAUAGGGACCCCAUAAACCCCAUAAGGACCCCAUAGGGACCCCCCCAAUCCCAGAAGAAUCCCAUAAAGACCUCAUAAAGACCCCAUAAGGACCCCACAGGGAC
Molecule: long non-coding RNA, 1506 nt
Filed under: Numida meleagris (helmeted guineafowl)
Lineage: Eukaryota; Metazoa; Chordata; Aves; Galliformes; Numididae
Description: lncRNA (ENSNMEG00000002742.1)
Source: RNAcentral